This 270-nucleotide ribosomal RNA is filed under the name uncultured archaeon. Its description in RNAcentral is "partial 16S ribosomal RNA". It matches the Rfam family "Archaeal small subunit ribosomal RNA", at positions 477 to 747 of the family's 1478-position model. The record is from RNAcentral.
CUGCAGCCCGAGUGGUGAUCGAUUUUAUUGAGCCUAAAGCGUCCGUAGCCGGACUAGUAAACCCUUGGGCAAAUUGGGCAGCUUAACUGUCCAAAUUCCGAGGGGACUGCUAGUCUUGGGACCGGGAGAGGUCAGAGGUACUCAAGGGGUAGGGGCUAAAUCCUGUAAUCCUUUGGGGACCACCAGUGGCGAAGGCGUCUGACUAGAACGGAUCCGACGGUAAGGGACGAAACCCUGGGGCGCGAACCGGAUUAGAUACCCGAGUAGUCC